ACAUACCAAGGUUUAAGAAUUUAUCAAAUGAGUAGUUUUUAUCAUACAUAAUUGGCAGGUGAUACUUUCUGUAGCAAUCAAUAUGAAGAAAUUUUGAAUAUUUAAACUUGAAUGUAUAGAUUACCAUUAGUAAGAGCUUACACAUUAACAAUUUUUAAUCAAUAAUUGUGAACCUCUAUUUUGCAAAUUGUUAUACGUUCUGAAAAUAAAAAAGAAAAACUUGCAGGUACAAAGUCUUAUUCUUGCACUCUUUUUCUCUAAUUUCAGUUACUUCAUCGUUAUUGAGCUUACCAACUAUUAUUCUUGAACCAGUGUUGUCUGAGAGGUGAUAUAAAAAAAAAAUCAGCAGCAAGUUCCAAAAGCUUUAAAUAUUGUUGCAGCCGUACUCAGAAUGCAUUUCAUGAUUGCCUUGUUAGAAUAAGUAAAACAAUUCCUUGAUUUCAAUUUAUGUGUCUCACUUUCUUUUUAACUUUAUUAAAAAAGAAUGUCUUUUUCUAUAUUCAUAACUCUUAAAUCUUAACAUUCUACGUGACAUGUUUAAGACCACAAGGUUCAAAUUGACAUUUUGAUGUACUGCACAUAUAUUUAGUCAAAAGAAGAUAUUUACAUGUGAAGGACCUUAAUUUCAUGAACAAAAAAUUGAAAAUUUUGCGAGAAGAUACUUUCAAAAUAUAGUAUUCCCAUUUAAUAUUCUAUCUUCAAGAAGGACUCUAAUGCUCAUUACUUUAGUGUUUCCACAAUAUUGUUAGUAAAAUUCUAUGAACCCUCAAAGAACUAAAAUAAAAUUCUAGUGGUAUUUCAGUGGUUAAGAUGUGAAGAAAAGAUGGCAAAGAGGAUUGGCCACAAUAGUAUCCAGUAGCCCUUUUAUAAGAUCAGUUCUCAGGUCUUGACACAUUUAAUUAAUAUUAUUAUUUUAAUCAAUUCCUUGGUAAUGUUUUGAAGAUGAUGGAUGAUGCCAUAAAAGUACUCCGCUGGUAAUUGACCCUUUUUUGGUUGUUGAUAAAUUACUACUUUUGUCAUUGUUAUUAAUUUAUAUCCAUUUUUCAUGGGCUCUUACCAUUUGAAGUUAAAAAGGUUGAUCAUGUUUCCAAAUGGAGGUAAAAUUCUGAAUUUCUCUAAAAAUAGUACCUUUGAUUUUAUUUUUCAUUUAGACUUCUUUAUGUAUCUAGAUUUCAGCCUUUCUUCUUAUUUUUCUUUCAAUCAAGUCUGUCAUUUAAUAAUUUUUAAUGGGUGAUACAUAUAUUUGUUUCUUUGUCCGUCAUGCUUCUUUGUUCAUUCCUUACAGGAGAUUAAUUGUUUGUUCAAACACUUCUUAUGAAUUAAUUUUAUGUUUGAUGUGCCUAAAGUAACUAAAGAAGUCCUUUUUCUUAACACAGGACUUCUAUACCUUGCAUCGCAUUCACCAAUUCAAGAGCUAUAUUAUUUAGCACUACUAGACAAUAUUAAGCAAGAAGGGCAUAAUCGUUAAACUUGUUUGAGAGCUUAUUACAAAACCAGCUAAAGGAUAAGUUGAAAUAUUAUGUAUUAGUAGAUUUAAAGUUGCUCACCCUCCUCUCAAUGAAAAAGAGAAAGUCAGACUUGAGAAGGACAUGCUGAUUUUAGAAUCAUACAUCUAUUUGAAUAAUAGAAGCAAUUACAGUUCUCAAGGGAAUGGUGAAAAGAUGUGCGCGGAAGAACUCGUGUUUGUCCAUUAUGAUUCAUUGUGGGUGAAGGUUUUUGCAGUGCUACAAAGAAUUUAGAAUGUUUGAUUGAUGAAACUUUCAUAUUUCAUUUUCAAUAUCAUGUUAUUGAGGAACAAUUGUACAGUAACUGUUUGGGCUUAGCUAGAAAAACAAUUUAA
Molecule: long non-coding RNA, 1840 nt
Organism: Solanum tuberosum (potato)
Lineage: Eukaryota; Viridiplantae; Streptophyta; Magnoliopsida; Solanales; Solanaceae
Exons: 3
Source: RefSeq, a predicted model, not a curated record